Zophobas morio is the source of this 4901-nucleotide long non-coding RNA. RefSeq lists it as uncharacterized. The transcript has 2 exons. NCBI's taxonomy places the organism in Eukaryota, Metazoa, Arthropoda, Insecta, Coleoptera, Tenebrionidae. The record is from RefSeq and is a predicted model, not a curated record.
AAAAUACAGGGCGUUUAAAUUGUAAAAUGCGAGUAAACUAACAGCUUGAAAAUUUAUUUAAUCACUCUGUAUAACUUAGGUAAAAUAUUCUUCAUUUUUUUAUGUUUGUCAGAGAGAGGUAACUAAAAGUUUUCUCAAAACUCCAGGCCUCCAUUUUUAAAAAUGGCGUAGUUGAAAAAUUGCAGCGUUUAAAUAUAACGGGUGAUCAAAAAGUUUUCAGACUGGAGUUGGCCAUGGAAAUAUUCGUCAUGUCUUUGAUUAAACUGUAACAGUCAUGCAAAACCGUUUUUAUUGACAUGAAAGGUUAUGCAUGACUUUUACAGUCAUGCAAAACCAUUUGUCAUACAAAGACAUGACAAAUAUUUCCAUGGCCAAUUUUAACCUGAAAACUUUUUUACAAGUGAUCUAUUUAAAGAUUAUGACCAAAGUUUAACUUUUGCAUAUGAAAUGAUAUUUACUUUUAUGUAUUUUUAGAUUGUGUAUACGGUUUUUUUUUUUUUGUAUUUGUAUUUUUAUGGGGAAAACCGACAUUUUUAAAAAUUCACAGCUCCGCCAUUUUUAACAAUGAAGAUUUGGAAUUUUGCGUAAGACUUGUUGGUGCUCCUGACAAUAAUUUAAAACUAAAAAUUGGCGAUGAGGUCGAAAAUACAGGACGUUUAGUUUGAAAAAUACGAGACAAUUUAAUCACCCUGUAUAAAUUAUUUAAAAUAUUCUUUUUUUUAUGUUCGUGAGAGCAAGGUAACUGAAAAGUUUUAUAAAAAUUCCUUUUUAAAUAUAGCGGAGUUGAAAAUUUUUAACGUUUAAUAUACAAGGUGUUCCGUUUAAAAAUUAUGACCAAAGUUCGAUUUUUUAUUAUGAAGCAAUAUAUUAUUAUACUUUUAUAAAGCGUUUUUUGAUUAACACUUCACGAUAUUUGCGUUUUUAUGGCAAAAAUUGUCGUUUUUUAAAAAUUCACAGUUCUACUAUUUUUGAAAAUCGAGGUUUGAAAUUUUGCCUAAAACUUGCUGGCGCCGUAAGACAACGUUUAACCCUGUUAAUACUUGUAUUGUUACAACCGCAAACUGUCAUUUUCUUAUCCUUUUCUACUCGGACACACUGUAUUUUAUAAUUUCUUUUUUUGAGCUAACCCCAAAGUCAAAUUUCUUCUAAAACCAGAAUUCGGGUUUCUCCUGACAGUAAUUAAAAAAAAUGUCGAUGAGCUCCAACAUACAGGGCGUUCAAUUUGUAAAAUGCGAGGAAAGUGACAGUUUGUAAAUCACCCUGUAUAAAUUAGAUAAAAUAUUCUUCGAUUUUUUAUGUUCAUGAAAGCAAGGAAACUAAAAAGUUUUAGAAAAAUUCCGUUGUAAAUAUGUAUGGGAGAGUUGAAAAUUUUAAAAAAGUUUAAAUAUACAAGGUGUUCCAUUAAAAAAUUAUAUACAAAGUUGGGUUUUUUUGUAUUUUUAAUAUGAAACAAUACAUAAUAUUAUAUAUUUAGAUACUUUAUAAAGGCUUUUUUGUUUUUUUUUUGGCCAACAGUUUUCACGAUAUUUGCAAAAAACAGUAAUUUUUAAAAAAUCACAGCUCGACUAUUUUAAAAAUUGGAGGUUUCAAAUUUUGCGCAAAACUUGUUGGCGCCUUAAUACAUUGUUUCAGCAUACUAAUACAGAAUGAUUAAAUUCCCAAAUUGUCAUUUUCGUACCUUUUUUUGGUGGGACACUCUGUAUUUUACAUAUAUUUAUAUAUUUCUUAUUUAGUUUCUAAGCAAAAUUUCUUCCAAUACCAGGUUUGGUGGACUUUUCUCUAAUAAAAGAAUAAUUUCAAAAGCACUGUCACGGUAGGCUCGAAAUACAGGGUGUUUCACCUGAAAAAUGCAAAAAACUGACAGUUUGUAACUUUAAUCACUCUGUAUAAGUUAAAAUAUUCUUCUUUUUUUUUUCGUUUGUCAAAGCAAGGUAACUAAAAGUUUUCUCAAAACUCCAGGGCACCAUUUUUUAAAAUGGCGGAGUUGAAAAAUUUCGGUGUUUGAAUAUACCAAAGUUCCAUUUAAAGAUUAUUACCAAAAUUGUACUUUUUAAUAUGAAACAAUACAUAGUUUUAUAUAUUUCGAUCUCUUAUAGAGUUUUUUAUUUUUUUUAUUAUUAUGGAAAAAAUAGUCAGUUUUAAAAAUUCACAGUUCUACCAUUUUGAAAAUGGAGGUUUGAAAUUUUGCGCAAGACUUGUUGAUGCCUUAAUACAUUGUUUAAUCACCCUGUAUUAAUAUACAGGGUGAUUAAAUUCGCAAACUGCCACUUUCGUACCGUAGGACACCCUGUAUUUUAUAAUUCCUUGGAAGUAGUCUCCAAAGAAAUAAGAGGGUGUUCCAUUUAGAAAGUGGAAGAAAACUGUUAGUUUUGUAAAUUUAAUCACCCUGUAUAAGUUAAAAUACUCUUCAGUUUUUUAAGUUUGUCAAAGAGAAAUAACUAUAAGUUUUUUUAAAACUCCAGACCUCCAUUUUUAAAAAUGGCGGAGUAGAAAAAUGUCAGCAUGUAAAUAUACAAAGGGUUCCAUUUAAAAAUUAUGACCAAAGUUGUAUUUUUUAUUAUGAAACAAUAUAUACUUUUAUUUGUUUUUUUAUAUACUUACACGAUAUUUGUGUCUAUCGGAAAAAUUGUUAUUUUCAAAAAUCACAACUCCGCCAUUUUUAAAAAUGGAGGUCUGGAAUUUUGCGCAAAACUUGUGGUGCCUUAGUGCAGUGUUAGGCUUAUUAAUACAGGAUGAUUAAAUUUACAAACUGCCAUUUUCUUGCCCUUUUUUAAUUGGACACCCUGUAUUUUAUAAUUUCCUGGAAGGAAGUAGUCCCGAAGUAAAAUAUCUUCUAAUACCAGGAACUUUCAAAAAAUCCUUUGCGAUAAGGUCGAAAAUACAGCUGUUCCAUUUGAAAAAUGCAAGAAAACUGACAGUUCGUAAAUUUAAUCACCCUGUAUAAACAAGUUAGAAUACUCUUCAGUUUUUUAUGUGUAUUGGAGCGAGGUAACUAAAAGUUUUCUCAAAACUCCAGAUCCAUUUUUAAAAUGACGGAAUCGAAAAAUUUCAACGUUUAAAUAUAACGGGUGAUCAAAAAGUUUUUAGAUUAAAGUUUGCCAUGUCUUUGAUUAAAAUGCAAAUGUCAAAAAUCCAAAUUAUUGAAAUACGGAUGAGGUUGCCCAUGACUUUUGCAGUUUAAUCAAAGACAUGACAAACAUUUCCAUGGCUAACUCUAAUCCAAAAACUUUUUGAUUACUCGCUACAAAGGGUUCCAAUUAAAGAUUAUGAACAAAAUUAUAUUUUUUAAUAUGAAACAAUAUAUUAGUUUUUUAUAUUUAGAUCCUUUAUAAAGGGUGAUUACGUUCGAAGACUGUCAUUUUUUAAUGGGACACAUGUCUGUAUUUUAUAAUUUCUUGGAAGUAGUCUCCAAAUAAAGUAUCUUCUAAUACCAGGUGGUUUCAAAAAAGCUUUAGCGAUACGCCCGAAAAUACAGGGUGUUCCGUUUGAAAAGUGCAAGAAAACUUAUAAUUUGUAAAUUUAAUCACCGUGUAUAAGUUAAAAUAUUCUUCUUUUUUUGUGUUUGUCGGAGCGAGGUAGAUAAAGUUUUCACAAAACUCCAGAUCUCCAUUUUUAAAAAUGGCGGAAUUGAAAAAUUUCACCGUUUAAAUAUACAAACGGUUCCAUUUAAAGAUUAUGACCAAAAUUUUGCGCAAAACUCGUUAUGUCUUAGUACAGUGUUUACGGUUAUUUAUACAGGGUGUUCCAUUUGAAAAAUGCAAUAAACUGACAAUUUGUAAAUUUGAUCACCCUCUAUAAAUAAGUUAAAAUACUCUUCAGUUUUUUAUUAUGACCAAAGUUGUAUUUUUUAUUACGAAACAAUAUUUAGUUUUAAAUAUUUAGAUUUUUUAUGGAAAAAUUAGCCAUCUUUAAAAAUUCACAACCCACCAUUUUUAAAAAUGGAGGUUUUGAAUUUUGCGCAAAACUUGUUGGAAACCAUAAUAUAGUAUUUAAAUUUAUUAAUACAGGGUGAUCAAAUUUGCAAACUCACAUUUUCUUACCCUUGUAUUUUAUAAAAUUUGUUUUAAAGUGAUAAUUUAAUUAAAAUAUGUGUGUGUGCAAUUUAUUUUUUGGUUAAAAAGUGUUUCAAAUUUAUCAAAAAGGUAACCAAAAAUUAGCAAUAUAAGCAAUUACCAAAGUGUGAAAAAAAUAUUUUCGUGUAUUUUUAGUAGUAAUUUGGUUUUUAUGUCUGUGAUAGUGUUUUGAAAAGAAUAUUUCGGAAAGCAAAAACCAUAAAUAAAACGUCGAAUAUGUUUUUUCCGCAUUCGUGAAGUACCAUUCGUAGUAUUUUUAAGACUAUACCAAAGAUUUGUUUCAAGCUUUAUUUGUCUGCCCCAGUACGACUUCGCCCCCAGACAGUAUUACCAAAAACGACUUUAGUUAUAAUUUUUCGAGUGAACUUGUUCGUCUCUGUAUUUUUUUCCGGCCUCAUUGCCUUCUACCACGCCCGAAAAAAAUCCAGCGACCCCAGCAGUUACUUUAGUAACUCCAUAAUAUUCGACACUAAGCUUAGACGGCAGCGCACAAUGCUUGUUCAGGUCCGAGACCACAAAAAAUAAUUUGGAUGUUGUAGCAGCUCAAGUUUUCUUCCCAAUCAUGAGAAUCUCGAUCCUUUGUCGAAUCGAACGGAAUUCUUGCACGCCUCGACAAAGAACCGUCAAUAGUUACCUUUAAGUUUUUAGCCGAUAUUUUUAUAAUCCUAGCAUAAAAUGUGAUAAAUUUCUCUUCUCGUCUCUUGGGGAUUGUGUACAAAAAGUUCGAUCGGCGAGAGUGCAGUCCUAGUUUUUGCAGCUAAUAAUAAGAAGGACCAAUUUGAUAUUGGACAUGUUUUCUUUUUUGAGUUAAUAAAACUGUACGAAGUA